Molecule: ribosomal RNA, 468 nt
Filed under: uncultured bacterium
Lineage: Bacteria
Description: partial 16S ribosomal RNA
Rfam family: Bacterial small subunit ribosomal RNA
Source: RNAcentral
GACGAACGCUGGCGGCGUGCUUAACACAUGCAAGUCGAACGGAAAGGCCCUGCUUUUGUGGGGUGCUCGAGUGGCGAACGGGUGAGUAACACGUGGGUAACCUGCCCUUGACUUUGGGAUAACUUCAGGAAACUGGGGCUAAUACCGGAUAGGAGCUCCUGCUGCAUGGUGGGGGUUGGAAAGUUUCGGCGGUUGGGGAUGGACUCGCGGCUUAUCAGCUUGUUGGUGGGGUAGUGGCUUACCAAGGCUUUGACGGGUAGCCGGCCUGGGAGGGUGACCGGCGACAUUGGGACUGAGAUACGGCCCAGACUCCUACGGGAGGCAGCAGUGGGGAAUAUUGCACAAUGGGCGGAAGCCUGAUGCAGCAACGCCGCGUGCGGGAUGACGGCCUUCGGGUUGUAAACCGCUUUAGCCUGUGACGAAGCGUGAGUGACGGUAAUGGGUAAAGAAGCACCGGCUAACUACGUG